This 253-nucleotide ribosomal RNA is filed under the name uncultured bacterium. RNAcentral describes it as "partial 16S ribosomal RNA". It matches the Rfam family "Bacterial small subunit ribosomal RNA", at positions 524 to 776 of the family's 1533-position model. The record is from RNAcentral.
UACGAAGGGGGCUAGCGUUGUUCGGAAUUACUGGGCGUAAAGCGCACGUAGGCGGAUUGUUAAGUCGGGGGUGAAAUCCUGAGGCUCAACCUCAGAACUGCCUUCGAUACUGGCGAUCUUGAGUCCGGAAGAGGUGAGUGGAACUGCGAGUGUAGAGGUGAAAUUCGUAGAUAUUCGCAAGAACACCAGUGGCGAAGGCGGCUCACUGGUCCGGUACUGACGCUGAGGCACGAAAGCGUGGGGAGCAAACAGG